This 497-nucleotide ribosomal RNA is filed under the name uncultured bacterium. RNAcentral's name for it is "partial 16S ribosomal RNA". It matches the Rfam family "Bacterial small subunit ribosomal RNA", at positions 28 to 507 of the family's 1533-position model. The record is from RNAcentral.
GAUGAACGCUGGCGGCGUGCCUAAUACAUGCAAGUCGAGCGAACGGACGAGAAGCUUGCUUCUCUGAUGUUAGCGGCGGACGGGUGAGUAACACGUGGAUAACCUACCUAUAAGACUGGGAUAACUUCGGGAAACCGGAGCUAAUACCGUAUAAUAUUUUGAACCGCAUGGUGCAAUAGUGAAAGACGGUCUUGCUGUCACUUAUAGAUGGUUCCGCGCUGUAUUAGCUAGUGGGGAGGGUAACGGCUUAGCAAGGCAACGAGGCAGAGCCGACGUGAGGGGGUGGUAGCCCACCUUGGAAGGGGGACGCGGUCCCUACUCCUACGGGACGCCGCAGUAGCGAACCUGCCGCAACGGUCGGAAGCAUGGCGGAGCAGCGCAGAGUGAGUUACGACGGUCCUCGGAUCGUAAAACCCUGUUACUGGGGAAGAACAUCUGUCUAAGUAAAUGUACACAUCUUGACGGUACCUACUCAGAAAGCCACGGCUAACUACGUG